This 740-nucleotide ribosomal RNA is filed under the name Pseudoclavibacter sp. AD-H1. RNAcentral describes it as "bacterial SSU rRNA". It matches the Rfam family "Bacterial small subunit ribosomal RNA", at positions 55 to 806 of the family's 1533-position model. The record is from RNAcentral. Lineage: Bacteria; Bacillati; Actinomycetota; Actinomycetes; Micrococcales; Microbacteriaceae.
AUGCAAGUCGAACGAUGAAGCCCAGCUUUGCUGGGUNGAUUAGUGGCGAACGGGUGAGUAACACGUGAGCAACGUGCCCAUAACUCUGGGAUAACCUCCGGAAACGGUGGCUAAUACUGGAUAUCUAACAUGAUCGCAUGGUCUGUGUUUGGAAAGAUUUUUUGGUUAUGGAUCGGCUCACGGCCUAUCAGCUUGUUGGUGAGGUAAUGGCUCACCAAGGCGACGACGGGUAGCCGGCCUGAGAGGGUGACCGGCCACACUGGGACUGAGACACGGCCCAGACUCCUACGGGAGGCAGCAGUGGGGAAUAUUGCACAAUGGGCGAAAGCCUGAUGCAGCAACGCCGCGUGAGGGAUGACGGCCUUCGGGUUGUAAACCUCUUUUAGUAGGGAAGAAGCGAAAGUGACGGUACCUGCAGAAAAAGCACCGGCUAACUNCGUGCCAGCAGCCGCGGUAAUACGUAGGGUGCAAGCGUUGUCCGGAAUUAUUGGGCGUAAAGAGCUCGUAGGCGGUUNGUCGNGUCUGCUGUGAAAUCCCGAGGNUCAACCUCGGGUCUGCAGUGGGUACGGGCAGACUAGAGUGUGGUAGGGGAGAUUGGAAUUCCUGGUGUAGCGGUGGAAUGCGCAGAUAUCAGGAGGAACACCGAUGGCGAAGGCAGAUCUCUGGGCCAUUACUGACGCUGAGGAGCGAAAGCAUGGGGAGCGAACAGGAUUAGAUACCCUGGUAGUCCAUGCCGUAAA